AAGACUAUAGACCUGCGGAGUACCUGCGGAAGGAUCAUUAACGAAAUUUUGCAUUAAUUUGCAAAUUUAACACACCUGUGAACUUUAAAUUUUGCUUUGGCUGGGCUUUAUUGGUUCAGCCAAACGAUUAAAACCUUUAUAUUUUAACCUGAAUCUGAAUUGAAAAAUUUAAUUUAAUUAAAACUUUCAGCAAUGGAUCUCU
Molecule: unclassified non-coding RNA, 202 nt
Filed under: soil metagenome
Description: partial contains 5.8S ribosomal RNA, internal transcribed spacer 2, and large subunit ribosomal RNA
Source: RNAcentral